Molecule: long non-coding RNA, 419 nt
Filed under: Mytilus galloprovincialis (Mediterranean mussel)
Lineage: Eukaryota; Metazoa; Mollusca; Bivalvia; Mytilida; Mytilidae
Source: RNAcentral
UAACACACAUAGAAACGGACCAAGCAUCAGACAAAAUCCCACGAGAAAAACAAAUAUAACAUCAAAACCAAAUACAUGAAUUUGGGAUAGACAAGUACCGUGACACGUCUUAUCGCAAUGUGAAUUUACACUCAAAAUUAAGAGAAAACAUACGACGCAACGUUAAAAUGUAACACACACAGAAACGAACUAUAAUAUAACAAUGGCCAUAUUCCUGACUUGGUACAGGACAUUUUUAAAGAAAAAAAUGGCGGGUUGAACCUGGUUUUGUGGCAUGCCAAACCUCCCCUUUCAUAGCCAUGUGAAAUAUAACAUUAAAAUGACAACUCAACACCACAGGACUACAAUAUAAAUAAAUUGGAGAAUACAAUUGACAAAGAAACACACGAACAACAGCCAACAAAAGGCAACAAGUUGAA